This is a non-coding RNA of Danio rerio (zebrafish), 953 nucleotides long. Lineage: Eukaryota; Metazoa; Chordata; Actinopteri; Cypriniformes; Danionidae. The record is from RefSeq and is a predicted model, not a curated record.
GAUGUCAACAAACUUUUUAAAACCUGAUUUACGCCUAUUAUCACAGUUUUCUUAUUUUAAAAAUAUGUAAUUUUUAUUUUGUUUAUGAAAAGCGUAUGUAAACGGGGUCGAAACUACUGUGUGAAUAAACUUCGGCCCACGUGACAUCCCUUCACGUCUAUGCUCGCUAUCCCAAGGUUCAUUGCGAUCCCAAGGUUCACUGCGGUUUUCCACAAGCCUGUUUCUGCCUAUCACCAUGAGUGAUUCCUCAAUACUCAGAUUUAUCACCAAGAUCUCAAUUAUAAGCUCAAGUUUUGAUGACAACUUGGUGAUCUGCAUAAAGCACCACCAUGUAAGGAAGGCCAAGACCACUCUGGAAUCAGUCAAGGGUGAAAUGGAGUGAGGCAUACCAGGAUAUGCCUGGUUUUACUUUUGGGAAGGAGGUUGAACAGUGCAAUAUUUCUUCUAUAGGAUUGCAGUGACCAGACAUGCUACUGUAACUCUCAUGGUCAUGUGCUGGAAUUAGCAGAUGUUCAACAAUUUGGCCAUCUCGCUGACCUGUUGAUAUCAGAAGACCGCAACAGCUCUGCAAAGCAAGUUGCAAAACAGAAUCCAUGAAACUGGCAGUGACUGGAAACCAAUUGGAAGACUUUGGUCUGUGAUGUAGAGGAGUGGGCAGAGGUAGCAGAAGCAAAGACAACAAAAAGAAGAAGUGAUGUGGAUGUCUUCGUCAUAUUGCAUGACUCUGCUGACCCAGCAACAAAGAGGAGGGUGUUCAACAUCAUCCUGCUAGUCAGGAUUCUUCAGGAGAAGCAGUGGAUUCUUGUGGCAGAGAUGGUCAACCACUAUAAAUACCUUUCAACUCAUCCUGGUUCUUUCAAAGAACUUUCUUGCUUGUUUGCUACUGAAAUGUACUGAUUCGACAUGUGGCCUUAACGAAGAGGGGUUAAAAGGUCUAUGGAUCAUCAUUCUCA